UUAAGUGACUAAGCGUACAUGGUGGAUGCCUUGGCAGUCAGAGGCGAUGAAGGACGUACUAACCUGCGAUAAGCCGUGAGCAGUCGGUAAGAGACAUUACGACUCACGGAUUUCCGAAUGGGGAAACCCACUUAGCAUAAGCUAGGUAUCGCUGCGUGAAUACAUAGCGUAGCGAGGCGAACCGGGAGAACUGAAACAUCUAAGUACCCCGAGGAAAAGAAAUCAACCGAGAUUCCCUCAGUAGCGGCGAGCGAACGGGGAUUAGCCCUUAAGCAUCUUGGAAGUUAGUGGAACGGUCCUGGAAAGGCCGGCGAUACAGGGUGAUAGCCCCGUACACGAAAACAACCUUGAUGUGAAAUCGAGUAGGGCGGGACACGUGACAUCCUGUCUGAAUAUGGGGGGACCAUCCUCCAAGGCUAAAUACUCCUGACUGACCGAUAGUGAACCAGUACCGUGAGGGAAAGGCGAAAAGAACCCCUGUGAGGGGAGUGAAAUAGAACCUGAAACCGUGUACGUACAAGCAGUGGGAGCCCUUCGGGGUGACUGCGUACCUUUUGUAUAAUGGGUCAGCGACUUACAUUUUGUAGCGAGGUUAACCGUAUAGGGGAGCCGUAGGGAAACCGAGUCUUAACUGGGCGUCUAGUUGCAAGGUGUAGACCCGAAACCGGGUGAUCUAGCCAUGGGCAGGUUGAAGGUUGAGUAACAUCAACUGGAGGACCGAACCCACUAACGUUGCAAAGUUAGGGGAUGACCUGUGGCUGGGGGUGAAAGGCCAAUCAAACUCGGAGAUAGCUGGUUCUCCCCGAAAGCUAUUUAGGUAGCGCCUCGGACGAAUACUACUGGGGGUAGAGCACUGUUUGGGCUAGGGGGUCAUCCCGACUUACCAACCCCAUGCAAACUCCGAAUACCAGUAAGUAAUAUCCGGGAGACACACGGCGGGUGCUAACGUCCGUCGUGAAGAGGGAAACAACCCAGACCGCCGGCUAAGGUCCCAAAGUUCUGGUUAAGUGGGAAACGAUGUGGGAAGGCUCAGACAGCUAGGAUGUUGGCUUAGAAGCAGCCAUCAUUUAAAGAAAGCGUAAUAGCUCACUAGUCGAGUCGGCCUGCGCGGAAGAUGUAACGGGGCUCAAACCAGGCACCGAAGCCGCGGAUUCACACUAAGUGUGAGUGGUAGGGGAGCGUUCUGUAAGUCUGCGAAGGUGUGUCGAGAGGCAUGCUGGAGAUAUCAGAAGUGCGAAUGCUGACGUAAGUAACGAUAAAGGGGGUGAAAAGCCUCCUCGCCGGAAGACCAAGGGUUCCUGUCCAACGUUAAUCGGGGCAGGGUGAGUCGACCCCUAAGGCGAGGCCGAAAGGCGUAGUCGAUGGGAAGCAGGUUAAUAUUCCUGCACGACUUGUAAUUGCGAUGGGGGGACGGAGAAGGCUAGGUGGGCCAGGCGACGGUUGUCCUGGUGAAAGUGCGUAGGUGGUGUUUCUAGGCAAAUCCGGAGACACAACACUGAGAUACGAGACGAACACACUACGGUGUGGAAGCCAUUGAUGCCCUGCUUCCAGGAAAAGCCUCUAAGCUUCAGAUUACAAGUCAUCGUACCCCAAACCGACACAGGUGGUCGGGUAGAGAAUACCAAGGCGCUUGAGAGAACUCGGGUGAAGGAACUAGGCAAAAUAGAACCGUAACUUCGGGAGAAGGUUCGCUCUUGACAGUGAAGUCCCUUGCGGAUGGAGCAGUUGGGAGUCGCAGUGACCAGAUGGCUGGGACUGUUUAUCAAAAACACAGCACUCUGCAAACACGAAAGUGGACGUAUAGGGUGUGACACCUGCCCGGUGCCGGAAGGUUAAUUGAUGGGGUUAGCGCAAGCGAAGCUCUUGAUCGAAGCCCCGGUAAACGGCGGCCGUAACUAUAACGGUCCUAAGGUAGCGAAAUUCCUUGUCGGGUAAGUUCCGACCUGCACGAAUGGUGUAACCAUGGCCAUGCUGUCUCCACCCGAGACUCAGUGAAAUCGAAUUCGCCGUGAAGAUGCGGUGUACCCGCGGCUAGACGGAAAGACCCCGUGAACCUUUACUACAGCUUGGCACUGAACAUUGAACCUACAUGUGUAGGAUAGGUGGGAGGCUUUGAAGGCGUGACGCCAGUUGCGCUGGAGCCGUCCUUGAAAUACCACCCUUGUAUGUUUGAUGUUCUAACGCAGGCCCGUGAAUCCGGGUCGCGGACAGUGCCUGGUGGGUAGUUUGACUGGGGCGGUCUCCUCCCAAAGAGUAACGGAGGAGCACGAAGGUUGGCUAAUCCUGGUCGGACAUCAGGAGGUUAGUGCAAUGGCAUAAGCCAGCUUAACUGCGAGACGGACAGGUCGAGCAGGUACGAAAGUAGGUCAUAGUGAUCCGGUGGUUCUGAAUGGAAGGGCCAUCGCUCAACGGAUAAAAGGUACUCCGGGGAUAACAGGCUGAUACCGCCCAAGAGUUCAUAUCGACGGCGGUGUUUGGCACCUCGAUGUCGGCUCAUCACAUCCUGGGGCUGAAGUCGGUCCCAAGGGUAUGGCUGUUCGCCAUUUAAAGUGGUACGCGAGCUGGGUUCAGAACGUCGUGAGACAGUUCGGUCCCUAUCUGCCGUGGGCGUUGGAUGAUUGAAGGGAGUUGCUCCUAGUACGAGAGGACCGGAGUGAACGAACCUCUGGUGUUCGGGUUGUCACGCCAGUGGCACUGCCCGGUAGCUAAGUUCGGAAUCGAUAACCGCUGAAAGCAUCUAAGCGGGAAGCGAGCCCUGAGAUGAGUCAUCCCUGACCCCUUGAGGGUCCUAAAGGGCCGUUGGAGACCACAACGUUGAUAGGUGGGGUGUGUAAGCGCGGCGACGUGUUGAGCUAACCCAUACUAAUUACCCGUGAGGCUUAACC
This 2885-nucleotide ribosomal RNA is filed under the name Aeromonas hydrophila. RNAcentral describes it as "23S ribosomal RNA". It matches the Rfam family "Bacterial large subunit ribosomal RNA". The record is from RNAcentral. Lineage: Bacteria; Pseudomonadati; Pseudomonadota; Gammaproteobacteria; Aeromonadales; Aeromonadaceae.